GAUAACAUCAUGUACGCUGAGGUGUACGUGAUCAAAGGUAGCCUCUACAAGUAAGCGACUGUUUGGAGAUGAGCCUGCGUACCAUUAGUUAGUUGGCGGGGUAACAGCCCACCAAGGCGACGAUGGUUAGCUGGUCUGAGAGGAUGAUCAGCCACACUGGAACUGACACACGGUCCAGACUCCUACGGGAGGCAGCAGUGAGGAAUUUUGCGCAAUGGGCGGAAGCCUGACGCAGCAACGCCGCGUGAGUGAAGAAGGCCUUCGGGUCGUAAAGCUCUGUCAAAUGGGAAGAACCUGUGCAUGGUAAACAAGUGUGCACACUGACGGUACCAUUGAAGGAAGCACCGGCUAACUCCGUGCCAGCAGCCGCGGUAAUACGGAGGGUGCGAGCGUUAUUCGGAAUUAUUGGGCGUAAAGAGCACGUAGGCGGCAGUGCAAGUCAGGUGUGAAAACCCGGGGCUUAACCUCGGAAGCGCAUUUGAAACUGUGCUGCUUGAGUAAGGGAGAGGGAAGUGGAAUUCCUGGUGUAGCGGUGAAAUGCGUAGAUAUCAGGAGGAACACCGGUGGCGAAGGCGACUUCCUGGACCAAUACUGACGCUGAGGUGCGAAGGCGUGGGUUAGCAAACAGGAUUAGAUACCCUGGGUAGUCAACGCAAUAAACGGUGAUCCCUAAGUUGUAGCGGGUAUUUGACCCCUGCUGUGCCGCAGUUAACGCAUUAAGUGAUCCGCCUGGGGAGUACGGCCGCAAGGUUAAAACUCAAAGGAAUUGACGGGGGCCCGCACAAGCGGUGGAGCAUGUGGUUUAAUUCGUACGCAACGCGAAGAACCUUACCUGGAUUNGACAUCUGCGGGAGUGCUAUGAAAGUAGGAUGUGCCCUUCGGGGAGCCGCAAGACAGGUGCUGCAUGGCUGUCGUCAGCUCGUGUCGUGAGAUGUUGGGUUAAGUCCCGCAACGAGCGCAACCCUUGUCUUUAGUUACCAGCAUUUCGGAUGGGGACUCUAAAGAAACUGCCCCGGUUAACGGGGAGGAAGGUGGGGAUGACGUCAAGUCCUCAUGGCCUUUAUGUCCAGGGCUACACACGUGCUACAAUGGGUUGUACAAAGGGUAGCGAGCCUGUGAAGGAGAGCCAAUCCCAUAAAGCAGCCCCAAGUUCGGAUUGGAGUCUGCAACUCGACUCCAUGAAGCUGGAAUCGCUAGUAAUCGCGGAUCAGCAUGCCACGGUGAAUACGUUCCCGGGCAUUGUACACACCGCCCGUCACACCAUGAGAGUUGGUUGUACCCGACGUC
RNAcentral lists this ribosomal RNA (1287 nucleotides) under uncultured organism. RNAcentral's name for it is "bacterial SSU rRNA". It matches the Rfam family "Bacterial small subunit ribosomal RNA", at positions 172 to 1428 of the family's 1533-position model. The record is from RNAcentral.